CUGCUGCCUCCCGUAGGAGUCUGGUCCGUGUCUCAGUACCAGUGUGGGGGACCUUCCUCUCAGAACCCCUACGCAUCGUCGCCUUGGUGGGCCGUUACCCCGCCAACAAGCUAAUGCGACGCAUGACCAUCCGUAGCCGGAAUCGCUCCCUUUAAACCCACAGAGAUGCCUCCAUGGGUUGUUACGCGGUAUUAGACGGAAUUUCUUCCGCUUAUCCCCCUGCUACGGGCAGGUUUCAUACGUGUUACUCACCCGUGCGCCGGUCGCCGGG
RNAcentral lists this ribosomal RNA (271 nucleotides) under uncultured bacterium. Its description in RNAcentral is "partial 16S ribosomal RNA". The record is from RNAcentral.